Molecule: ribosomal RNA, 269 nt
Filed under: uncultured eukaryote
Lineage: Eukaryota
Description: partial small subunit ribosomal RNA
Rfam family: Eukaryotic small subunit ribosomal RNA
Source: RNAcentral
AGGGCACCACCAGGAGUGGAGCCUGCGGCUUAAUUUGACUCAACACGGGGAAACUCACCAGGUCCAGACACAAUAAGGAUUGACAGAUUGAGAGCUCUUUCUUGAUUUUGUGGGUGGUGGUGCAUGGCCGUUCUUAGUUGGUGGAGUGAUUUGUCUGCUUAAUUGCGAUAACGAACGAGACCUUGACUCUUAAAUAGGGUGUAUAACAAUUUGUUGUAUGAUUCUUCUUAAGAGGACUAUCAGGAAAAACCUGAUGGAGGUUCGAGGCA